AAUGAACGCUGGCGGCAUGCCUAAUACAUGCAAGUCGAGCGACCAGAUAAUAAGCUUGCUCCUUUACCGUUAGCGGCUGACGGGUGAGUAACGCAUAGAUCACCUACCUAUAUUACUGGGAUAACUCCGUGAAACCGGUGCUACUGACGGAUAACAUUUCCAACCGCAUGAUUCUAGAGUUCAAGAUGGUUUUGCUAUCUCUUAUAGAUGAACCCGCGUCGUAUUAGCUAGUUGGUAAGGUAACGGCUUACCAAGGCGACGAUACGUAGCCGACCUGAGAGGGUGAUCGGCCACACUGGAACUGAGACACGGUCCAGACUCCUACGGGAGGCAGCAGUAGGGAAUAUUGGGCAAUGGGCGAAAGCCUGACGGAGCAAUGCCGCGUGAGUGAAGAAGGUCUUCGGAUUGUAAAACCCUGUUAUUAGGGAAGAAAAGAUGUGGAAGAAACCGUGGAUGUUCUGACGGUACCUAAAGAGAAAGCAACGGCUAACUACGUG
This 497-nucleotide ribosomal RNA is filed under the name uncultured bacterium. RNAcentral describes it as "partial 16S ribosomal RNA". It matches the Rfam family "Bacterial small subunit ribosomal RNA", at positions 29 to 507 of the family's 1533-position model. The record is from RNAcentral.